ACUACGGGUGGCAGCAGUGAGGAAUAUUGGUCAAUGGACGCAAGUCUGAACCAGCUAAUUCUCGUGCAGGAAGACGGCUCUAUGAGUUGUAAACUGCUUUUGUACGAGGGUAAACGCAGAUACGCGUAUCUGUCUGCAAGUAUCGUACGAAUAAGGAUCGGCUAACUCCGUGCCAGCAGCCGCGGUAAUACGGAGGAUUCAAGCGUUAUCCGGAUUUAUUGGGUUUAAAGGGUGCGUAGGCGGUCGGAUAAGUUAGAGGUGAAAUCCUGAGGCUCAACUUCGGAAUUGCCUUUGAUACUGUACGGCUAGAGAGUAGUUGCGGUAGGCGGAAUGUAUGGUGUAGCGGUGAAAUGCUUAGAGAUCAUACAGAACACCGAUUGCGAAGGCAGCUUACCAAGCUACUUCUGACGUUGAGGCACGAAAGCGUGGGGAGCAAACAGGAUUAGAUACCCUAGUAGUC
This 460-nucleotide ribosomal RNA is filed under the name uncultured bacterium. RNAcentral describes it as "partial 16S ribosomal RNA". It matches the Rfam family "Bacterial small subunit ribosomal RNA", at positions 338 to 795 of the family's 1533-position model. The record is from RNAcentral.